GACUGGGCCUGGCUUCCAUUUUGUGGCUUCUCUGGAUUGGCAAAUCCAGGUGUUCUCUCUAUGAGGAAACUAAAGCAGACACUUAGGCAAUUUGCUGAGGAGUCCAGAGACAAGGAUUCCAGAGACACAAUUAUCGCUGGCAUCCUGUUUCAAAUCCAUCUCUCACCGAGGCGAUAGUCAAGAGGGGCUGUCAUGAAGAAGGCUGCUGAAGAUAAGCCUAUUUGAGACUCUUUGGGGCAUGUAUUUUCAUCUCUCUUGUUUGAAUGUAAGAAGGAGAAGGCACUGGAUCAUAGAGAAGACACAUAUGUAACUACACAACUUUCCGACAUGGUUUACUACUUUAAAGCCCCUCCAUCUGCAGUGUAUACCAGGAGUUUGCCUUGUAGAACGAACACGCUGCCUGCCGUGUUCAUGGUACAUUAAUAAGGAGGUAAAGUUUGAAAUCUGUUCAAGACAGGCUGCCCAGGGGGAGUUGUGAAGGUGACCUGAAGACUAAACAUACACAGGUGCUAUGAAGUCCUGCAAUUAAGAUUCUGCAGGAGCUUUGUCGAGCUCCAGUUCUCCAAAAUGAGAGAGAGAGGAAGAGAGAGAGAGAGACCCUAUAAAUGUGCUGUGGUAUUGGCAAAGUAAUAUCUCCAAGACAGAUACAGGCUCCUCAAAGAGAAAGGAUUUUAAAUGGAUCUUACUAGAUAAUGAGAUUUUUAAGCCUGAGACACAGCUAGAGAAAGAAAGUUUCCACUUCAGGCUUAGUGGACAACCUGAGAAGUGGAACACAGCACUUCAG
This is a long non-coding RNA of Mus musculus (house mouse), 784 nucleotides long. RefSeq annotates it as predicted gene, 51787. The transcript has 3 exons. NCBI's taxonomy places the organism in Eukaryota, Metazoa, Chordata, Mammalia, Rodentia, Muridae. The record is from RefSeq and is a predicted model, not a curated record.